GCAUAUCAAUAAGCGGAGGAAAAGAAACUAACAAGGAUUCCCCUAGUAACUGCGAGUGAAGCGGGAAGAGCUCAAAUUUAAAAUCUGGCGGUGUAACAGCUGUCCGAGUUGUAAUUUCAAGAAGUGUUUUCUGUGCCAGACCGUGUACAAGUCUCCUGGAAUGGGGCGUCAUAGAGGGUGAGAAUCCCGUCUUUGACACGGACUUCAUAUGGUGCUCUGUGAUACACUCUCAAAGAGUCGAGUUGUUUGGGAAUGCAGCUCAAAAUGGGUGGUGAACUCCAUCUAAAGCUAAAUAUUGGCGAGAGACCGACAGCGAACAAGUACCGUGAGGGAAAGAUGAAAAGCACUUUGGAAAGAGAGUGAAACAGUACGUGAAAUUGCUGAAAGGGAAACGCUUGAAGUCAGUCACAUUUGCUUGAAUUCAGCUACUCUCUCGAGGGUGGUGUACUUUCACAGUGAAUGGGCCAGCAUCACUUUUGGCUGCUGGAAAAGGGCAGGAGAAAUGUGGCACUCUUUUUAAGGGUGUGUUAUAGUCUUCUGUCAUAUACAGUGGCUAGGAGUGAGGAAUGCCUUUUUUGUAGGAUGCUGGCAUAAUGGCUUUAAACGACCCGUCUUGAAACACGGACC
RNAcentral lists this ribosomal RNA (627 nucleotides) under uncultured fungus. RNAcentral's name for it is "LSU rRNA". It matches the Rfam family "Eukaryotic large subunit ribosomal RNA", at positions 38 to 667 of the family's 3401-position model. Lineage: Eukaryota; Fungi. The record is from RNAcentral.